Molecule: ribosomal RNA, 232 nt
Filed under: uncultured bacterium
Lineage: Bacteria
Description: partial 16S ribosomal RNA
Rfam family: Bacterial small subunit ribosomal RNA
Source: RNAcentral
CGGACGGGUGAGUAAUGUCUGGGAAACUGCCUGAUGGAGGGGGAUAACUACUGGAAACGGUAGCUAAUACCGCAUAACGUCGCAAGACCAAAGAGGGGGACCUUAGGGCCUCUUGCCAUCGGAUGUGCCCAGAUGGGAUUAGCUAGUAGGUGGGGUAAAGACUCACCUAGGCGACGAUCCCUAGCUGGUCUGAGAGGAUGACCAGCCACACUGGAACUGAGACACGGUCCAG